Molecule: ribosomal RNA, 406 nt
Filed under: uncultured bacterium
Lineage: Bacteria
Description: partial 16S ribosomal RNA
Rfam family: Bacterial small subunit ribosomal RNA
Source: RNAcentral
AUUGAACGCUGGCGGCAGGCCUAACACAUGCAAGUCGAACGAGUGGCGGACGGGUGAGUAGUGUCUGGGAAACUGACCGAUGGAGGGGGAUAACUACUGGAAACGGUAGCUAAUACCGCAUACCAUCGGAUGUGCCCAGAUGGGAUUAGCUAGGAGGUGGGGUAACGGCGCACCAAGGCGACGAUCCCUAGCUGGUCUGAGAUGCUGACCAGCCACACUGGACAUGAGACACGGUCCAGACUCCUACGGGAGGCAGCAGUGGGGAAUAUUCGACAAUGGGCGCAAGCCUGAUGCAGCCAUGCCGCGUGUAUGAAGAAGGCCUUCGGGUUGUAAAGUACUUUCAGCGGGGAAGCGUUACCCGCAGAAGAAGCACCGGCUAACUCCGUGCCAGCAGCCGCGGUAAUAC